Molecule: ribosomal RNA, 486 nt
Filed under: Pseudomonas sp. CL1.21
Lineage: Bacteria; Pseudomonadati; Pseudomonadota; Gammaproteobacteria; Pseudomonadales; Pseudomonadaceae
Description: bacterial SSU rRNA
Rfam family: Bacterial small subunit ribosomal RNA
Source: RNAcentral
CCCUGGCUCAGAUUGAACGCUGGCGGCAGGCCUAACACAUGCAAGUCGAGCGGAUGAAGGGAGCUUGCUCCCUGAUUCAGCGGCGGACGGGUGAGUAAUGCCUAGGAAUCUGCCUGGUAGUGGGGGACAACGUUUCGAAAGGAACGCUAAUACCGCAUACGUCCUACGGGAGAAAGCAGGGGACCUUCGGGCCUUGCGCUAUCAGAUGAGCCUAGGUCGGAUUAGCUAGUUGGUGAGGUAAUGGCUCACCAAGGCGACGAUCCGUAACUGGUCUGAGAGGAUGAUCAGUCACACUGGAACUGAGACACGGUCCAGACUCCUACGGGAGGCAGCAGUGGGGAAUAUUGGACAAUGGGCGAAAGCCUGAUCCAGCCAUGCCGCGUGUGUGAAGAAGGUCUUCGGAUUGUAAAGCACUUUAAGUUGGGAGGAAGGGCAGUAAAUUAAUACUUUGCUGUUUUGACGUUACCGACAGAAUAAGCACCGGCU